RNAcentral lists this ribosomal RNA (461 nucleotides) under uncultured bacterium. RNAcentral's name for it is "bacterial SSU rRNA". It matches the Rfam family "Bacterial small subunit ribosomal RNA", at positions 33 to 507 of the family's 1533-position model. The record is from RNAcentral.
GACGACGCUGGCGGCGUGCUUAACACAUGCAAGUCGAACGGUAAGGCCCUUCGGGGUACACGAGUGGCGAACGGGUGAGUAACACGUGGGUGAUCUGCCCUGCACUUCGGGAUAAGCUUGGGAAACUGGGUCUAAUACCGGAUAGGACCACGGUCUGCAUGGAUUGUGGUGGAAAGCUUUUGCGGUGUGGGAUGGGCCCGCGGCCUAUCAGCUUGUUGGUGGGGUGAUGGCCUACCAAGGCGACGACGGGUAGCCGGCCUGAGAGGGUGUCCGGCCACACUGGGACUGAGAUACGGCCCAGACUCCUACGGGAGGCAGCAGUGGGGAAUAUUGCACAAUGGGCGCAAGCCUGAUGCAGCGACGCCGCGUGGGGGAUGACGGCCUUCGGGUUGUAAACCUCUUUCAGCAGGGACGAAGGGUGACUGACGGUACCUGUAGAAGAAGCACCGGCCAACUACGUG